This is a non-coding RNA of Caenorhabditis elegans, 149 nucleotides long. NCBI's taxonomy places the organism in Eukaryota, Metazoa, Nematoda, Chromadorea, Rhabditida, Rhabditidae. The record is from Ensembl.
AACCACUGCAACCAUCAGAAGAGAUAGUACUAAUGAUGCGAGAGACGCAGUCACAACUGCUGAUAACAACAAGCAUAGAGUAUCGUCGAAUGAUAUCUGAAGUUCAUAGUAGAUACUUUAAAUUGACAGGAUGGAUAUACCGCUUGUUC